GCGAAGGUGGCGGCAUUGGUAGACGCGCUAGCUUCAGGUGUUAGUGUCCUUACGGACGUGGGGGUUCAAGUCCCCCCCCUCGCACCA
This 87-nucleotide transfer RNA is filed under the name Escherichia coli. RNAcentral describes it as "tRNA-Leu". It matches the Rfam family "tRNA". From Rfam's summary of the family: Transfer RNA (tRNA) molecules are approximately 80 nucleotides in length. Their secondary structure includes four short double-helical elements and three loops (D, anti-codon, and T loops). Further hydrogen bonds mediate the characteristic L-shaped molecular structure. tRNAs have two regions of fundamental functional importance: the anti-codon, which is responsible for specific mRNA codon recognition, and the 3' end, to which the tRNAs corresponding amino acid is attached (by aminoacyl-tRNA synthetases). tRNAs cope with the degeneracy of the genetic code in two manners: having more than one tRNA (with a specific anti-codon) for a particular amino acid; and 'wobble' base-pairing, i.e. permitting non-standard base-pairing at the 3rd anti-codon position. The record is from RNAcentral. Lineage: Bacteria; Pseudomonadati; Pseudomonadota; Gammaproteobacteria; Enterobacterales; Enterobacteriaceae.